This 783-nucleotide ribosomal RNA is filed under the name Levilactobacillus brevis. RNAcentral describes it as "bacterial SSU rRNA". It matches the Rfam family "Bacterial small subunit ribosomal RNA", at positions 52 to 818 of the family's 1533-position model. The record is from RNAcentral. Lineage: Bacteria; Bacillati; Bacillota; Bacilli; Lactobacillales; Lactobacillaceae.
AGCUUCCGUUGAAUGACGUGCUUGCACUGAUUUUAACAAUGAAGCGAGUGGCGAACUGGUGAGUAACACGUGGGAAAUCUGCCCAGAAGCAGGGGAUAACACUUGGAAACAGGUGCUAAUACCGUAUAACAACAAAGUCCGCAUGGAUUUUGUUUGAAAGGUGGCUUCGGCUAUCACUUCUGGAUGAUCCCGCGGCGUAUUAGUUAGUUGGUGAGGUAAAGGCCCACCAAGACGAUGAUACGUAGCCGACCUGAGAGGGUAAUCGGCCACAUUGGGACUGAGACACGGCCCAAACUCCUACGGGAGGCAGCAGUAGGGAAUCUUCCACAAUGGACGAAAGUCUGAUGGAGCAAUGCCGCGUGAGUGAAGAAGGGUUUCGGCUCGUAAAACUCUGUUGUUAAAGAAGAACACCUUUGAGAGUAACUGUUCAAGGGUUGACGGUAUUUAACCAGAAAGCCACGGCUAACUACGUGCCAGCAGCCGCGGUAAUACGUAGGUGGCAAGCGUUGUCCGGAUUUAUUGGGCGUAAAGCGAGCGCAGGCGGUUUUUUAAGUCUGAUGUGAAAGCCUUCGGCUUAACCGGAGAAGUGCAUCGGAAACUGGGAGACUUGAGUGCAGAAGAGGACAGUGGAACUCCAUGUGUAGCGGUGGAAUGCGUAGAUAUAUGGAAGAACACCAGUGGCGAAGGCGGCUGUCUAGUCUGUAACUGACGCUGAGGCUCGAAAGCAUGGGUAGCGAACAGGAUUAGAUACCCUGGUAGCCAUGCCGUAAACGAUGAGUGCUA